Molecule: ribosomal RNA, 305 nt
Filed under: uncultured bacterium
Lineage: Bacteria
Description: bacterial SSU rRNA
Rfam family: Bacterial small subunit ribosomal RNA
Source: RNAcentral
UGCCUACGGGGGCAGCAGUGAGGAAUAUUGGUCAAUGGGCGCGAGCCUGAACCAGCCAAGUCGCGUGAGGGAAGACUGCCCUAUGGGUUGUAAACCUCUUUUAUUCGGGAAGAAUAAGCCUUACGAGUAGGGUGAUGCCUGUACCGAAUGAAUAAGCAUCGGCUAACUCCGUGCCAGCAGCCGCGGUAAUACGUAGGGGGCUAGCGUUAUCCGGAAUUACUGGGCGUAAAGGGUGCGUAGGUGGUUUCUUAAGUCAGAGGUGAAAGGCUACGGCUCAACCGUAGUAAGCCUUUGAAACUGGGGAA